This 406-nucleotide ribosomal RNA is filed under the name uncultured bacterium. RNAcentral's name for it is "partial 16S ribosomal RNA". It matches the Rfam family "Bacterial small subunit ribosomal RNA", at positions 29 to 526 of the family's 1533-position model. The record is from RNAcentral.
AAUGAACGCUGGCGGCAGGCUUAACACAUGCAAGUCGAGCGAGCGGCGGACGGGUGAGUAAUGUACGGGAAACUGCCUGAUGGAGGGGGAUAACUCCUGGAAACGGUAGCUAAUAACGCAUACCAUCAGAUGUGUCCAGAUGGGAUUAGCUAGUUGGUGGGGUAAGGGCUCACCUAGGCGACGAUCCCUAGCUGGUCUGAGAGGAUGACCAGCCACACUGGAACUGAGACACGGUCCAGACUCCUACGGGACGCAGGAGUGGGGAAUAUUGCACAAUGGGCGCAAGGCUGAUGCAGCCAUGCCGCGUGGGUGAAGAAGGCCUGCGGGUUGUAGAGCACUUUCAGCGAGGAGGCGUUACUCGCAGAAGAAGCACCGGCUAACUCCGUGCCAGCAGCCGCGGUAAUAC